GAUGAACGCUGGCGGCGUGCCUAAUACAUGCAAGUCGAGCGAACAGACGAGGAGCUUGCUCCUUUGACGUUAGCGGCGGACGGGUGAGUAACACGUGGGUAACCUACCUAUAAGACUGGGAUAACUUCGGGAAACCGGAGCUAAUACCGGAUAAUAUUUCGAACCGCAUGGUUCGAUAGUGAAAGAUGGCUUUGCUAUCACUUAUAGAUGGACCUGCGCCGUAUUAGCUAGUUGGUAAGGUAACGGCUUACCAAGGCAACGAUACGUAGCCAACCUGAGAGGGUGAUCGGCCACACUGGAACUGAGACACGGUCCAGACUCCUACGGGAGGCAGCAGUAGGGAAUCUUCCGCAAUGGGCGAAAGCCUGACGGAGCAACGCCGCGUGAGUGAUGAAGGUCUUCGGAUCGUAAAACUCUGUUAUUAGGGAAGAAUAAACGUGUAAGUAACUGUGCACGUCUUGACGGUACCUAAUCAGAAAGCCACGGCUAACUACGUG
RNAcentral lists this ribosomal RNA (497 nucleotides) under uncultured bacterium. RNAcentral describes it as "partial 16S ribosomal RNA". It matches the Rfam family "Bacterial small subunit ribosomal RNA", at positions 28 to 507 of the family's 1533-position model. The record is from RNAcentral.